RNAcentral lists this ribosomal RNA (468 nucleotides) under uncultured bacterium. Its description in RNAcentral is "partial 16S ribosomal RNA". It matches the Rfam family "Bacterial small subunit ribosomal RNA", at positions 28 to 507 of the family's 1533-position model. The record is from RNAcentral.
GACGAACGCUGGCGGCGUGCUUAACACAUGCAAGUCGAACGGAAAGGCCUUGUUUUUGUGGGGUGCUGGAGUGGCGAACGGGUGAGUAACACGUGAGUAACCUGCCCUUGACUUUGGGUUAACUUCAGGAAACUGGGGCUAAUACCGGAUAGGAGCUCCUGCUGCAUGGUGGGGGUUGGAAAGUUUCGGGGGUGGGGGAUGGACUCGCGGCUUUUCAGCUUGUUGGUGGGGUAGUGGCUUACCAAGGCUUUGACGGGUAGCCGGCCUGAGAGGGUGACCGGCCACAUUGGGACUGAGAUACGGCCCAGGCUCCUACGGGAGGCAGCAGUGGGGAAUAUUGCACAAUGGGCGGAAGCCUGAUGCAGCAACGCCGCGUGCGGUAUGACGGCCUUCGGGUUGUAAACCGCUUUCGCCUGUGACGAAGCGUGAGUGACGGUAAUGGGUAAAGAAGCACCGGCUAACUACGUG